GAAUGUGAAGGCGAUCUGGCUGCGACAUCUGUCACCCCAUUGAUCGCCAGGGUUGAUCUGGCUGGCCAGGCGGGUGUCCCCUUCCUCUCUCUCCGCUUCGGGUGCUUCCCUCCCGAAGCUGCGCGCUCAGUCGAAGAGGACGACCUUCCCGGAUAGAGGAGAGGACCGUUCUUCGGUCAAGGGUAUACGAGUAGUUGCGCUUCUCUGCUAGAACCUCCAAACAAGCUCUCAAGGUCCAUUUAUAGGAGAACGUAGGGUAGCCAAGCUUCCAAGACUCCAGACACAUUCCAAUGAGGCGCUGCAUGUGGCAGUCUGCACUUUUUG
This 324-nucleotide small nuclear RNA is filed under the name Pteropus vampyrus (large flying fox). Its description in RNAcentral is "7SK RNA (ENSPVAG00000027367.1)". It matches the Rfam family "7SK RNA". Rfam says of the family: 7SK was discovered as an abundant small nuclear RNA in the mid-70s but a possible function has only recently been suggested. Two independent studies have found that 7SK RNA binds the CDK9/cyclin T complex (known as elongation factor P-TEFb). The record is from RNAcentral. Lineage: Eukaryota; Metazoa; Chordata; Mammalia; Chiroptera; Pteropodidae.